AUAACGUAGGACCUAGGUAAAACUUUUCCGUAGUCAGUAUUAUAAAUUAUGAGUCCUGUUGACGCUAAUUUUCAUCUAUUGUUCAUUUUAGUUGAUAAAUAUCAAAAUAAUUGUGUAAUUCAUGAUGAAUGAUAAAAAUGGCCGCGAAUGCAAACAGAUCGAUAUAAAAAUGAGGUUGCAGUGUUGCGGUUCAUUGUGCUACUCUGGUAGCAUUUUGUAAAGCAUAUCACCACGAGACAUGGCUGUAAUUAAUUACCCACUGAUAUUUGAUGUUUGUAAUACAAAAUAUACGGUUACCGGUACUUUAUUUACACACGGGAGCUCGACAGCAAAACAAAUGGCCCGAAGCUUAACAAAAGUCAUUAUUGACUUUGUGCAUUAAGGCGGAUAUUUGAUAAUGAUAUGAAUAGGUGCAUUACACGAUACAACAUGGAAUUUGUUUACCUCUGUUGCCGAUAAGAACUGACUUCUGAAUUACGAUGAACUUCUACAGAAUUCAAAAUAAUUCGGUUUUACAUCGUUUUUCGCUGUGAAAUAACUAAAAAAUUAUGCACCAAUUCGUCAAGCUCCAUUAGUUCUCCAUAUGGUGCUUAAUUUUAGUUUUUUUUUUUUUUUCAAACUGGAUCGAAACUUCUAUUAUGAGACAUUCCUGAAAUUCUUUUCCGCAAAAUCAUUCGAGGAUAUUGUCUUUCCCGACAAUUGGCAAUACGUUAUCGAAUCAAUUGAAUCCUUCUUCGAAUGCAUUGCCCGAUUUUUGUCUUCUCUUCCUGUAAAAAAAAUUAUUCUAAAAAGUUGGAAAAACUCCGAAAUCGAUUGUGCAACUAAUAUAAUUACUAGUAGAUGUGUACAAAUUAUAGUGUGAGAGACUCAAAGUGAGUAGAACUCCAGAAAUAAGUGCAAAAAAGAAAAUCCGUUGAAUUAUAGUUUUGAAAUGACAUUUAUUUCGUCAAAAGCGAUACAAUGAAGUUGUUUUCUCAGAUUUGAACAAACGAAAAAGAAACAAUCAACUUAUGUGGGAAUUUUAUUUUGAUUUCGAAUCGACAUCAUUUUAAAAAAAAAUACUAACAAUAAAACGAACUAAAUAUUUGAUAUUGUUCGUGAUGAAUUUUCAUUAUAUUGACAAAAAUGAUCAAACUAAUUUUGUCUAUGUGUAAAUAAAUUGAAAUAAAUUCUUGAAAUGACAA
Long non-coding RNA from Sitodiplosis mosellana (orange wheat blossom midge), 1184 nucleotides. RefSeq lists it as uncharacterized. NCBI's taxonomy places the organism in Eukaryota, Metazoa, Arthropoda, Insecta, Diptera, Cecidomyiidae. The record is from RefSeq and is a predicted model, not a curated record. The transcript is spliced from 2 exons.